This 487-nucleotide ribosomal RNA is filed under the name uncultured bacterium. Its description in RNAcentral is "bacterial SSU rRNA". It matches the Rfam family "Bacterial small subunit ribosomal RNA", at positions 501 to 987 of the family's 1533-position model. The record is from RNAcentral.
CUACGUGCCAGCAGCCGCGGUAAUACGUAUGUCACAAGCGUUAUCCGGAUUUAUUGGGCGUAAAGCGCGUCUAGGUGGUUAUGUAAGUCUGAUGUGAAAAUGCAGGGCUCAACUCUGUAUUGCGUUGGAAACUGCAUGACUAGAGUACUGGAGAGGUAAGCGGAACUACAAGUGUAGAGGUGAAAUUCGUAGAUAUUUGUAGGAAUGCCGAUGGGGAAGCCAGCUUACUGGACAGAUACUGACGCUAAAGCGCGAAAGCCAGGGGAGCGAACGGGAUUAGAUACCCCGGUAGUCCUGGCCGUAAACGAUGGGUACUAGGUGUAGGAGGUAUCGACCCCUUCUGUGCCGGAGUUAACGCAAUAAGUACCCCGCCUGGGGAGUACGACCGCAAGGUUGAAACUCAAAGGAAUUGACGGGGGCCCGCACAAGCGGUGGAGUAUGUGGUUUAAUUCGACGCAACGCGAAGAACCUUACCAGGUCUUGACAU